AGGGGGUGGAUGGGAUGUGGUGGCAGGUGAAUCUGGAGGGUAGGUGGUCUGUGGUGGCAGGUGAAUCUGGAGGGUAGGUGGAAUGGGGUGGCAGGUGAAUCUGGAGGGUAGGUGGUAUGGGUGGCAGGUGAAUAUGGAGGGUAGGUGGUCUGUGGUGGCAGGUGAAUCUGGAGGGUAGGUGGUCUGUGGUGACAGGUGAAUCUGGAGGGUAGGUGGUCUGUGGUGACAGGUGAAUCUGGAGGGUAGGUGGUAUGGGGUGGCAGGUGAAUCUGGAGGGUAGGUGGUAUGGGGUGACAGGUGAAUCUGGAGGGUAGGUGGUCUGUGAUUGGUUCAUCUAGAGGGUGGGUGGUCUGUAGUGGCAGAUUAAUCUAGAGGGUGGAUGGGAUGUGGUUGAAGGUAAAUCUGGAGGGUAGGUGGUCUGUGAUCGGUUCAUCUAGAGGGUGGGUGGUCUGUGAUCGGUUCAUCUAGAGGGUGGGUGGUCUGUGAUCGGUUCAUCUAGAGGGUAGGUGGUCUGUGAUCGGUUCAUCUAGAGGGUAGGUGGUCUGUGAUCGGUUCAUCUAGAGGGUGGGUGUUCUGUAGUGGCAGAUGAAUCUAGAGGGGAGGGAAGGAGAGAGGGAAGAGAGAGAGAGAGAAUCCAUAUCAAUAUAUUGGCAUUGAACAAUUAUUC
Molecule: long non-coding RNA, 667 nt
Organism: Oncorhynchus tshawytscha (Chinook salmon)
Lineage: Eukaryota; Metazoa; Chordata; Actinopteri; Salmoniformes; Salmonidae
Source: Ensembl